UAGGAUGCAUGUCAAAUGUAGCUGAGUGCUUAGUAAAAAUGUUGAUAUACAACAUGUAGGUGUCACCAUGAUUCCUAGCAUAUAGAUGGGUGCAAAUACGAAACUAAGACACGUGGUCAGUUGCUGAAGAAAUUCCGGUGAAAACAUGCAGGGUCUAGCAAAAGGUCUGUAGCUGUGAGGGAAGGUGGAUGGCCCCAUAUGAGAGGUGUCACCAUGAUUCCUAGCAUAUAGAUGGGUGCAAAUACGAAACUAAGACACGUGGUCACUUGCUGAAGAAAUUCCGGUGAAAACAUGCAGGGUCUAGCAAAAGGUCUGUAGCUGUGAGGGAAGGUGGAUGGCCCCAUAUGAGAGGUAGAUUUUUGAGAAGGGCAGAUAGGGUUCUUGAUUGUGCACAGUGUCUAAAUCCCCAUGUUUGGUACUGUGAUGGUGUGGGGGUGGUGCGGAUUAGCCCAAAUGAGGGAAAAGCAAAGCAAAAAAGGGGAACCUGCUCAGAGCAUGUUUUGUGCACCAGCACCAGUAUUUAUAGAUUGCAUGUAAUUUAGGGUCGUAAUUUAUUAACUACACUAAUAUGAAAUACAAGUAUUGACAUAAAAGGGAAAUAUGAAUUUUCAUUAGUCUGUCAUAAUCUGACUUUGGUGUAUACCCCCUAUCCACAAGUUUCAAAACCAAAGAAACUGUCCCCUGCCACCUAUCCAUCCUUAUUUAUUGCAGGUAAAUUGUACCCACAUGUACAAUGUAAGUACAUUAAAUGGCGGACGAUAUAAGAAUGACCAGUUUUUAUCCAUAGUUUCGAAUUCCUCAAUUGUUUUUGUUUACCCUCAGUUUAACUAGUAAGUGAGUUAAUGGUAGUUUAUUCUGUGGGAGACAAUAUUGACCAGAUUGUAUUAUGUGUAGUAGUAUUUUAAUAGACCACGUGAAUCUGUUUUAUUGUAAGAGGUCAGUAGAUUGUUGUAUGGUGGAAACUUUGGGGAUAAAACAGUUUUUAUAAAGUUUGCUUUUUUGUGCCAGUUCUUUAUGAAUAGCGCGGUCUGUUUUUGUUGUACAAGAUUCAUAAAAUAUCUGUAAGUC
This is a long non-coding RNA of Ostrea edulis (European flat oyster), 1068 nucleotides long. RefSeq lists it as uncharacterized. NCBI's taxonomy places the organism in Eukaryota, Metazoa, Mollusca, Bivalvia, Ostreida, Ostreidae. The transcript has 2 exons. The record is from RefSeq and is a predicted model, not a curated record.